GACAACUUACUUGAAGGAUCUUAUUCAAUCCAUAGGUAGGUAUGGUGGACUCUCAUGGCAAAACUGGGUUGGAGGUUUAUGGAUGCACAAGUAGUAUCUCUACUUGGUGCGGGAGUUUUGGCUAAUAUGAGGUGGAAGCAAUCGUCACAUGCUAAGGGAUCUCUAAUCAUAUAACAUUGUUUGGAACCAAGCAAACACAAUUUAUUAUGUUGUCUUUCUUGUCCAACAUCUACUCGUAAGCAUGUAAUAGUUUGGUGAGUGCUCACAAUUGUAAAAAGUGUCUAAGAUGAUAUAUUUAUAUGUGAACCUCUCUUUCCUUAUUACUUCUUAUUAAUUGCAACA
RNAcentral lists this long non-coding RNA (342 nucleotides) under Hordeum vulgare. RNAcentral's name for it is "long non-coding RNA (HVUL_LNC001580)". The record is from RNAcentral. Lineage: Eukaryota; Viridiplantae; Streptophyta; Magnoliopsida; Poales; Poaceae.